UCUUCUAGUGGGCAGAGCUUUUUUUUUUUUCUUUUUGCCAAAAUGAUCUGUAGAACUCAUAAUGUUUGUAUUUUAUAUCGUAAAACAUAUAACAUAGGUGAUAUGAAUAAGAUUGAAAUGAGACUUGAUAUCCUUUUAAAGUUUAAAAUUUCUCCUAACUUCUAUACUUCUAGAAGAUCUGAAAUCUGACAGAAGGUAGAUUAAAUCUCAUGAAUAAACAAAGCCAUUAGUUAAGUACCAGUAACUAUGCCCAGCAUGUUAUGGUGCUUAACCAUGUGCCAGGCAGUGCAUUAAGCACGUUAUGUACAUUGACCUGUCUAUUCCUUAUUACUUUCCUAUGAGGUGAGAACUCUUACUGUUCAGUCCAUAAGGAAACUGAGGCUUAGAGGUUGAUUGUUUGAUUAUAUAUCAAGUAAAGAACAAAGCUAGAAAUUGAACCCAGAGUCUGAAUCCUGAGACCCACUCUUUCUGUUAAAUUUUUUUUUUCUUUUUUGCUUUUUAGGGCCACACUUGUGGCACAUGGAAGUUCCUGAGCUAGGGGUUGAAUCAGAGCUUCAGCUACCAGCCUACACCACAGCCAUAGUAACGCAGGAUCCAAGCCAUGUCUAAGACCUACAGCUUGUGGCAAGGCCAGAUCCUUAACCCACUGAGCGAGGCCAGGGAUUGAAACCACAUUCUCAUGGAUACUAGUUGGGUUCACAACCUGCUGAGCCAGAAUGGGAACUCCUCUUUUAAUUAAUUUUGUAAUUUAAAUUUUCAAACAUAUACAAUAGUGAAGAGCAGAAUAAUAACCCUCUGUUAUUUAGUUUUUAGCAAUUAACAUUGGCUAAUCCUGAUUCAUUUAAUUCUCACCUCCCAAAUCUCCAGGGAACUAUUUUAAAAUUAAUUCUACAUGUUGGAUAUUUCAGAUUAUAUCUAAGAGAUAAAAUUCUAUUUUAUAUUUAUGUAAAACCACACACCUUAGAAAUCUUAUUAAUAAUUCUCUAAUAUCAUCUGGUGUAGACUGGCUGUUUGUGUCCUCCCAGAAUUCUUAUGUUGAAAUCUAACCCUCAGUGUGAUAAGAUUAGGAGAUAAGGCCUUUCAGAGGAGAUUUGGUUAUGUGGGUUGACUCCUUGUGAAUAGGAUUAAUGCCGUUAUCAAAGAGACCCCUUGCCCAUUCCAUCCUGUGAGGAGGCAGGGAAAAGAGAGCCAUUCAUCUAUGAACCAGUUAAGCGGAAACUCACCAGACACCAAGUCUGCCAGCGCCUUGAACUUGGACUUCCCAGCCUCCAAAAAUGCGAAAAAUGAAUUUCUGUUGUUUAUAAUUCACACAGUCUAUGGCAUGUUUGUUGUAGCAGCCUACACAGACUAAGACAUCAUCUGAUAUCCAGCCAGUGUUCAAAUUUACCCAAGUAUCACAUAUAUUUUUUAAAAAUAUUUAUUUAUUUGAAAUCAGGUUCUGAUUCAGUUAAUUUAUUACAUUUUGGCUGUUAUGUCUCUUAAAUGUUUUUAAUUCUAUCCAGGUCAUCCUCCCUCUUUUUUUUUUUUUUAAUUUAUUUGUUGGAAAACAACUUCUUAUUUCUCCAGUGUCAUUUUGUAAAUUUGGGAUUUCAUUUUCAUCAUGUCCUUUAACAUUUUCCUCUUACUUUUACAUUUUCAGAAAGCUGUAGUUGAAUAUGAGGUUUGAUCAGAUUGAUGAUCUUUCUUUUGAUAAAAAAUACUUCAUAGAUAGUUCUGCAUAUACUCCCUAUUGAAUUUCAUUAGAAGACACAUAACUGUUUCUUUGGGAUGUUAAGGUUGAUCAGUAUUUUUAAUUUAGGUAUUGUCGACUUGAUCCAGUCAUUAUAAAGUUCCCCAUGAACCUUUCAUUUUAUCUCUUAGCAGCUAUUGAUGAUUGUUUCCUAGAGCCAUUAUUUCUCUUAGGGGUUGAAAAAUGGAAUUUUUUUUAUUUUUUAUUUUGUAUUUAUUAGCAAGAAUUAUUUGUAAAGAAAACCUGUCAUCCAGUUAAAAGCAGUAGAAUGCUUGAUUCUUUUCCUUUUUAUAAGUUUCCAGAUAAUGAGUUAUGUUCUAGCAUCACUCCAAAGGUGAUCAUGAAGUCCUCUCUAAUUCUGAGUAUUAGUAUGCAUUCAUGGAUUUAAAAAAAUUAUUCUUGAUGUGUUUUCAUACAUUAGUCAUUUGUCAUUACUGUUGGCCACUGAGCCCCUUCGAAUUGUCUCCUGUGUUCUUCUGAUCUAACUCCAGUAUUCUUUCAUACCUUCUUUGCUUUCUGGUAUCACAAGAGGUCUUAGAACCAACUUAAAUAUGUCCAGCCUUACUCUAGACAGAUUAUUUUUGUAUACCUGUAUAGUUGUUUCAUAAAAUAUAUUUACUAACACAUUUAUUCUGACACAUUCACUUUUCUGACUUUAUUUAGGGGAGAUUUUCUUGCAAUGAAGAUUUAGGUUCCUAAAUCUAAAUCUAAAUUCACUUGUGGAAUCAAGCCUGCACUCUUGCGCCAAAAAGGGCCUAGACCACAUUCUAGGAAGAUCCAGUUCUCUCUGAGAUGAGAGUGUAAAUAAUGAUAGAGUCAAGGUCUGUGCCAGGAGUGAGUUUCUGGGAGUUGUGGCACCCAUACUCCUCUCUGCAUGCUCCCAGGAGCUGUGACUCACCCAGUACAGUUAAAUUUGGGUAAUUCCUAUGAAGUCACCUUCAGAUGAGAUCACAAGCCCUUAAAAGGGUGCCCAGUAGUGAGAAAGUAGUCCAGCUUGCCAAAGGAAGCUAUGGCUCCAAAAUGCUUUGGUUCCUUUUAAUAAGAAAUGGUAUUUCGAUACUUUAAUCUAGGCACAUGUAAUAUUCAUUACUAGAGGUUCUAGACCCUUUUAGGGAACUGGGUUAGAAAAUAUACAUUUUGGCUUUUUGUGAAAAAGAAAAAUACGCCAUGAGUUAUACUCAUAAAUUCAAUUUUUAAAAAUCAGGUACUUUUUGACUUUAUAUUUGUGUCUUUUUAUCUAGGUUCCUCACACUCAAUGUAAUUAUUUAUUUCCUUAAACUACUAUGAGGGUUAAUUUUAUGUGUCAACUUGUUUGGGCCAUGGUGCCUAGAUAUUUGGUCAAACGUUAUUCUGGAUGUUUCUGUGAGGGUGUUUUUGGGUAAGAGUAACCUUUAAAUUGUUGAGCUUUGAGUAAAGCAGAUUGCCCUUCAUUGUGUAGGUGGGCCUAGUCCCAUCUGGUUGACCAUCCUUAAUAGAACAAAGAUUGACCCCCCCUGAGCAAAAAGGAAGUCUGCCAGCAGAUGGCCUUUUAACUUGAAGGGCAAGAUUGUCUCUUCUUUGGCUCUCCAGGCUUCCAGUCUACCCUACAGAUUUUGGACUUGUCAGUCUCAAUAAUUGCAUGAACUAAUUCCUUAAAAUAAUAUUUCUUUAUAUACACACAUCCUAUUUGUUCUGUUUUUCUGGAACUUAAGAAAGACUAACCUGGUUUGCCUUCCUAUGUGAAACACCAGAGUAAAUAAAUGAAGCAAUAGUCCUGACGUCAUUGGACAUCAGGCCGUGAAGGUCAGUGAUCCCUGGGAGACAGGAAACAAAUGAAGUAAUGACUGUCCCAGCUAGCUGUCUGGAGAGAAUUUAUAGGCCAUAGCAUAGGAAGGAGGAACCAGGAAAGUUGAGGAUAUGGACCUGAGAGUUUGGGAAAGCCAAAGUAGCUGGAAUUCAUAGGGCAGCAUACUAUGUAGGAGAGAGCUGCACAAAGAAAACGAAAUCUGCAGAGGUACUCCUUUGAGUAUUCAGGUGAGCAUCAUUAGUACACCUGUGAACAGAGAGGCCACUUGAGGCUGAGGAAAGAACCAUCUGAAAGAACAGAAAGAACAGUACCUGGAAUGGAAAUCCUCGUUAUUCACAGGGUAUUGAGUAAAGUACUAAGAAAGGUCUUGCUUAGAUUGAGUUCUUCUGCAGCCUAACAAAGCUUAAAAACAAGGCCAGAAAAGGUCAAACUGUUCCAUGUAAUUUAAUGUCUGUUAUUUUUAUUGCUUCAUAACAAAACAUGUAUUUUCUUAGUUUCUGAGGAUUUGGAAUUCAGAGAGUGGCUUAGCUAGAUGAUUCUGGCUUAGGUUUUCUCAUCAGGUUGUAAUCAAUCUAUCAUCCAAGGUGGAAGUCAUCUGAAGGCUUGACUAGGGCUGGAGAAUCUGAUGUUAAACUCACUCAUAUGGCCACUGGCAAGAGGCCUCAAUUCUUUUGCUGUGUGGACCUCUCUAUAGGAAUGCUUAUAACAUGGAAGCUAGCUUUCCUCAGCAUGAGUGAUCCAAGUGAGAGAGAGCAAGCAAGAUGGAAGCCACAGUGUCUUCUGUAAGCUAUUCUCAGGAGUGACACAGCAAUACUUACACUAUAUUGGUCAAUUAUUGUGGAAUAAUACAGGAGAGGACUGCUCAAGGGAGGCAGAUCAUUGGGGGUCAUCUUACAGCCUGGCUGCCAUGAAUAUAGGUAUAAAACUGAACAAUAUUUUAGCAAAUCAAAUCCAAUACAUAAAACAGAUAAUGUAUUAUAACAAAAUGGAGUAUAUCCUGGGAAUGCAUGAUUGGUUUAAUAUUUGCAAGUUACUCAGUGUAAAUGACAAAUUAAAAUGCAUUUCACAAAAUUCAACAUCCUUUCCUGAUGAAAUGUCUUACUGCACUAGGGAUAUAAGGGGUAAAUAUGAAAAAUCUAUGUAGAAUCUAUAAUUUAAUAUCACAACAGUGAAAGAUUGUGUGCUUUCUCCCUAAAAAUCAGGGACAAGGCAGUAUGUUCAUCGUUGCCACUUCAAUGUUGUGUGGAAGUUUUAGCCAGUGUAGUAAGGCAAGAGAGAUAUAUAGAAGGCAUCCAGAUUGGAAAGGAAAAAGUAAACCUGCCUUUCUUUGCAGAUGGGGUGAUCAUCUACCUAGAAUAUCCUUUAGGAUCUAUAUGAAAGUUAUUAGAAUUAAUAAGUUGGUUUAGCAAGGUUGUAGGAUACAAGAUCAAUAUAUAAAAAUUAAUAGUAUUUCUGUUUCCCAGCAACAGACAUUGAAAUUUAAGAUGUUAGUUUCCCCAACUUGAUCUGUAGAUUCAACGUGAUCCCAGUCAACAUCUCAGCUAGCUAUUUAGUAGAUAUUGACAAACGGAUUCUAAAGUUCAUGUGAAAAGACAAAAGGCCUAGAAUAGCCAACUUUAUCCUCAAGUGUGGACUGUGCAUAGUGACUUUCUUCCAAAGAGUACAGUAUG
RNAcentral lists this long non-coding RNA (5185 nucleotides) under Sus scrofa (pig). RNAcentral describes it as "lncRNA (ENSSSCG00000058171.1)". Lineage: Eukaryota; Metazoa; Chordata; Mammalia; Artiodactyla; Suidae. The record is from RNAcentral.